This 451-nucleotide ribosomal RNA is filed under the name uncultured bacterium. Its description in RNAcentral is "partial 16S ribosomal RNA". It matches the Rfam family "Bacterial small subunit ribosomal RNA", at positions 354 to 796 of the family's 1533-position model. The record is from RNAcentral.
GUGGGGAAUAUUGGACAAUGGGGGGAACCCUGAUCCAGCCAUGCCGCGUGUGUGAAGAAGGCCUUUUGGUUGUAAAGCACUUUAAGUGGGGAGGAGGCUUACCUGGUUAAUACCUGGGCUAAGUGGACGUUACCCACAGAAUAAGCACCGGCUAACUCUGUGCCAGCAGCCGCGGUAAUACAGAGGGUGCGAGCGUUAAUCGGAUUUACUGGGCGUAAAGCGCGCGUAGGUUGUUAAUUAAGUCAAAUGUGAAAUCCCCGAGCUUGACUUGGGAAUUGCAUUCGAUACUGGUUGGCUAGAGUAUGGGAGAGGAUGGUAGAAUUCCAGGUGUAGCGGUGAAAUGCGUAGAGAUCUGGAGGAAUACCGAUGGCGAAGGCAGCCAUCUGGCCUAAUACUGACACUGAGGUGCGAAAGCAUGGGGAGCAAACAGGAUUAGAUACCCGAGUAGUCC